Pseudopipra pipra is the source of this 496-nucleotide long non-coding RNA. RefSeq lists it as uncharacterized. The transcript is spliced from 2 exons. Lineage: Eukaryota; Metazoa; Chordata; Aves; Passeriformes; Pipridae. The record is from RefSeq and is a predicted model, not a curated record.
GGAGGCGCUGCGGGGCGGGAUCCCAGGUGAUCGGCGGCGGCUACACCCACUCACCGCCCCCGGAGGGCACAGGGGGUUGCUGGGGAGAAGCGGAAAGGCACCGGGCUCCACCGAGGACAAGGACAGCAUGACACCUGGGGACAGAACGGGAGUCAUUGGGGGCAAGGCUGCCCCUCGUCAAGCGCCGGAGGACCGGCGGGGCUCGCUGACCGAGGGCGCUGCUCAUCUCUCAUUAGGGGAUGAAUCCCUGGGUUAUUACACUGGCAUUUUCGGCUAAACACUUGUUCCAAAGGAAAGAAGCAGCAUCGUAAAGAGUUACUCCCGAACUGCAGGCAAGGAACACCGUCCGAGGAGAGCCCGGUGCCGCUCUGACCCGCCGUCGCUUCCCCCCCGCCCCGUUCUCUCCCUCCGGUCUCUUUCGCCUCCGCCGCCGCAGAAGCAUAAGAACUCUUCCUUCGCCCGGAAUAACCGCAAUAAAUUUUGUCUCAGCGCUAAA